GGAGGAGCGGAGGGGGGCGGGCUCCUUGGGGGUGGGGCAGUGUGUAUCACGUGACGUCGUUUGACUGUUUACAUAAGACGCGGGCAGAGCCGUCGGCCUCAGUCAGUCAGACGCUAGGCAGCAUUACGGUU
This 131-nucleotide long non-coding RNA is filed under the name Meriones unguiculatus (Mongolian gerbil). RNAcentral's name for it is "FMR1 antisense RNA 1 conserved region 2 (ENSMUGG00000006023.1)". It matches the Rfam family "FMR1 antisense RNA 1 conserved region 2". Lineage: Eukaryota; Metazoa; Chordata; Mammalia; Rodentia; Muridae. The record is from RNAcentral.